UCAAAAUAUGGUCACCCUAAUUUAACUAUAGCUGAGAUUUACGCUCAGACUGAGGGGAAGCUAGUCCAUUAGUGCUGUGGAAAAACGCACGAGUCUGUAAGGCGGUUAUCCUUCGAGUCACACAACAGUGUACCAGAAAAUCAUCACAGCUGAGUCUGGACAGAACAUCACUCUGACAUGUCAAGCUCCAAACAACAACAUCAUAGUUUUAGAGUGGAGCAGAGCUGACCUGGGAAGACAAUAUGUCUUUUUGCACCGGGAUGGUCUGUUUGUUCCCGAUGACCAGCAUCCAUCUUUUAAGAACCGGGUUAAUCUGCAGGACAGACAGAUGAAGGAUGGAGACGUGUCUUUGAUUCUGAACAAUGUGACGACUGCUGAUAGUGGUACAUACGCGUGUCGUGCCGUCAUGGGAGGAAUCAAACGCAGGAAGAGAGCCAUUUUAAAGACUGACCCCAUCAGCAUCGUCUCCCUGAGAGUUGUUGAUCCUCCAGGUCAGCCUGGAGGAGACACAGAGGAUGGAGGAGAGAAGAGUGGAUCUGUUGGACUGAUCGUUGGUCUCUCAGUUUCUGCUGUGCUUGUUGUUGUUGUUGGUGGUGGUUUUUUGAUCUACAGAAUACAGAACCCUGCUUCUGGGUUCAUACCAGCCUCCAGUUAGACUUGAGCCUAUUUAACACGUUUCAGCUUUUUCCACCUGAUCUUAGUUUCUUGCUGCUGUUCCAAUUUCUCAUAGUGGACACUGAGCAUUCAGAGUUAAGACAGAUGACAAUGUACUGAAGUGAAUGUCCAUGGCAUUCAAAAUUUGGUUUUUACGGUGUUUGUGAAAUACUUCAACAUCUUUUGACUCAUUAAAGAAAUUAAACUAAACAUUUCUUUAUCCCAAAAGAAAACUUGCAAAACAUUGAAAAUUAGCCUAGCAAACAUUUUUGGGGGGAAUGUUUGUAAAUUUAUAAAUGGAAUUUAUUUCAGUGUCUGAAAAACAAUCUAAAGUGAAAGUUGUGCCUUUAGUUUCUCACUGUCUGCUCAAUGACCUCCACGAACACCAGCUGGAAGUCAUCUUAUUGUUUUUUAAGGGGAACUUGUAAAGAUGAAGUUUAUUAUUAUUCUUUUAAGAAAACAUGAACAAAAACUGUUACAAACUGCAAACAUGGCCUGUUUAUGUACUGAACUGAGACUAGCUAGCUAGUUCAUGACUGUUGCCUCCUGCUAAGCCUCUCUGACAUUUUUAAAGUUAAAGUUGCAAAUGAAAUCAACAAAUCAAAGUUGCAAUGUGGAGCUUUUAUUUAUUUCUGUGCGACCACUGCCACACAGAAAUGGGUGACAUUCCUUUAUUCCUCUAUAAAUGAAGAAAAAAGAACCAGGAGGCUCAUCAACAAUUUUGAAAGAGAUUAUUAAAUUAUUGUAAUAUUUCUGUGAGGUUUUUUUAUUAUUGUUUUUACUAAAGAUAAAGUGUGUUGAGAAUAAUGUUUCAUGGUGCCUUAUGAAUAAAACCCAAGUGGAACUGAAUAAUCUGAGCUAGAAUCAAAGUAAACUCUCGAAUGAUAACAAGGGAGAAGACUAUGAGCCAAAUUAUUAUCUUCCAACUCUUCCUUUUUUUCUACCUGUCACAAAUUCAUUUUCAAAGGCGAAUACAAAGAAGAACAGGACAGGAGUAAAAUCAUCUGCAGAAAACAUAAAAUCAUCUUAGCCUUUUCAGAAGUGCCAGUUUAUUUAAAACAAUCCAUAGAGAGCCGAGAGAGCUUCUCUUGGUCGCCCCCUCAGGGCUGUGAUUGUGUUCGAGCCACUGAGACGACUCAAUACAAAGGUGUGUGUGUGUUACUUUUAUGUUGCACCAGAAAUCAAAGAUGGGGAGGAGAGGAAAAGGAUGGCAGACUGUUGUGAACAAACCCCUCUGUCAAAACCUUCAGAAAUAAAUAGCCUUUGAUUUGAAGCCACUGUACAAUUCAGUAAUUAUUUUUUAUCAGAAAACCAAAAGAUGACAUUAUUGGACCGCUAUUUAUAACUUGGAAUAAGACUGUUACCUUUUGUCAUUUAUAUAUACACAGAGGCAGUAUUUUACUAAAAAUUUGUAUUUUGGAUCUUUGUGCCAAAAACCUGGAACCAGCACAACACCACAAAACUGCUAUAUGAGCCCAAAGAUGGAAGCACGAAUGUCGGAGGAGCUACCCAGUAAAAUUCAAUGACCGGCCGAUAUAACUUUGCAUGCCAUUCUCCAAAUUCUCCCAGUAAUGCUUUGAAAUGAUCAUUUCUCAAACCUGUUGGAUGUAGGCUGGGUCCUCUGCAACACUGCGAAUCUGUGAUAAGCAGAUGUGUGCGAGUGAGAGCAUUCUGGUUGAGCAAUGUUUGGCAAUGUCAUACCUGGACCAUGUAUAUGUGU
Neolamprologus brichardi is the source of this 2374-nucleotide non-coding RNA. The record is from RefSeq and is a predicted model, not a curated record. NCBI's taxonomy places the organism in Eukaryota, Metazoa, Chordata, Actinopteri, Cichliformes, Cichlidae.